This 1365-nucleotide ribosomal RNA is filed under the name Pseudomonas sp. LAMO17WK12:I10. RNAcentral describes it as "bacterial LSU rRNA". It matches the Rfam family "Bacterial large subunit ribosomal RNA", at positions 1580 to 2925 of the family's 2925-position model. Lineage: Bacteria; Pseudomonadati; Pseudomonadota; Gammaproteobacteria; Pseudomonadales; Pseudomonadaceae. The record is from RNAcentral.
AGGUGACGAAGUGGUUGAUGCCAUGCUUCCAAGAAAAGCUUCUAAGCUUCAGAUAACUAGGAACCGUACCCCAAACCGACACAGGUGGUUGGGUAGAGAAUACCAAGGCGCUUGAGAGAACUCGGGUGAAGGAACUAGGCAAAAUGGCACCGUAACUUCGGGAGAAGGUGCGCCGGUGAGGGUGAAGGACUUGCUCCGUAAGCCCAUGCCGGUCGAAGAUACCAGGCCGCUGCGACUGUUUAUUAAAAACACAGCACUCUGCAAACACGAAAGUGGACGUAUAGGGUGUGACGCCUGCCCGGUGCCGGAAGGUUAAUUGAUGGGGUUAGCUAACGCGAAGCUCUUGAUCGAAGCCCCGGUAAACGGCGGCCGUAACUAUAACGGUCCUAAGGUAGCGAAAUUCCUUGUCGGGUAAGUUCCGACCUGCACGAAUGGCGUAACGAUGGCGGCGCUGUCUCCACCCGAGACUCAGUGAAAUUGAAAUCGCUGUGAAGAUGCAGUGUAUCCGCGGCUAGACGGAAAGACCCCGUGAACCUUUACUAUAGCUUUGCACUGGACUUUGAAUUUGCUUGUGUAGGAUAGGUGGGAGGCUUUGAAGCGUGGACGCCAGUUCGCGUGGAGCCAUCCUUGAAAUACCACCCUGGCAACUUUGAGGUUCUAACUCAGGUCCGUUAUCCGGAUCGAGGACAGUGUAUGGUGGGUAGUUUGACUGGGGCGGUCUCCUCCUAAAGAGUAACGGAGGAGUACGAAGGUGCGCUCAGACCGGUCGGAAAUCGGUCGUAGAGUAUAAAGGCAAAAGCGCGCUUGACUGCGAGACAGACACGUCGAGCAGGUACGAAAGUAGGUCUUAGUGAUCCGGUGGUUCUGUAUGGAAGGGCCAUCGCUCAACGGAUAAAAGGUACUCCGGGGAUAACAGGCUGAUACCGCCCAAGAGUUCAUAUCGACGGCGGUGUUUGGCACCUCGAUGUCGGCUCAUCACAUCCUGGGGCUGAAGCCGGUCCCAAGGGUAUGGCUGUUCGCCAUUUAAAGUGGUACGCGAGCUGGGUUUAGAACGUCGUGAGACAGUUCGGUCCCUAUCUGCCGUGGACGUUUGAGAUUUGAGAGGGGCUGCUCCUAGUACGAGAGGACCGGAGUGGACGAACCUCUGGUGUUCCGGUUGUCACGCCAGUGGCAUUGCCGGGUAGCUAUGUUCGGAAAAGAUAACCGCUGAAAGCAUCUAAGCGGGAAACUUGCCUCAAGAUGAGAUCUCACUGGAACCUUGAGUUCCCUGAAGGGCCGUCGAAGACUACGACGUUGAUAGGUUGGGUGUGUAAGCGCUGUGAGGCGUUGAGCUAACCAAUACUAAUUGCCCGUGAGGCUUGACCA